This 233-nucleotide unclassified non-coding RNA is filed under the name plant metagenome. RNAcentral's name for it is "partial contains small subunit ribosomal RNA, internal transcribed spacer 1, and 5.8S ribosomal RNA". The record is from RNAcentral.
UUUCCGUAGGUGAACCUGCGGAAGGAUCAUUAUUGGAUUUUGAAACUUCUGGCUGCUGCUGGCUCUCCUCGGAGGGCAUGUGCACGCUUGUUGUCCAUUAUUUCUCUCACUGUGCACAAAUUGUAGACCUUUCAGUAGGCCUAUGUUGUUUUUCACAAUCUCUGAAUGUAAUAGAAUGGUUUUGAAUCUUGGGAAAUACAAUACAACUUUCAGCAACGGAUCUCUUGGCUCUC